RNAcentral lists this ribosomal RNA (4002 nucleotides) under Triticum aestivum (bread wheat). RNAcentral describes it as "partial small subunit ribosomal RNA". The record is from RNAcentral. Lineage: Eukaryota; Viridiplantae; Streptophyta; Magnoliopsida; Poales; Poaceae.
AUGGCCGAGCUCGCGACGGGCGCCGUGAGCUCGCUGCUGGUCGUCAUCCGUAGUGAGGCGCUGCUGCUGCGCGGCGUCCGGGACGACGUGCAGUUCAUCAAGGAGGAGAUGGAGAGCAUGAAGAGCUUUCUGGCGCACCUGGCCAGGUGGGCGCCCCCCGGCGGCGAGCACGACGAGCAGGUGCGCACCUGGAUGAACCAGGUGCGGCUGCUCGCCCAGGACUGCAACAACUCCAUCGGCCUCUACCUCUACAGGGGGAACCCUGAUAUCCACCGCGCUAGAGGAGGGCUGCGAGGCUACCUCUGGUGGGCGACCUGGUUCUUCCACAAGUUGGCCGCACAGCACCGCGCGGCCGAGGAGCUGCGCUUGCUCAAGGAGCGGGCACGCGACGUCGGCGAGCGGCGGUUGAGGUAUGGCGUCGAGGUCCCGGACAAGUCAGGGAAGGGGCAAUUGGCUCCGACAGCAUCAUCAUCGACGUGGGCUGCUGCAGCAGGUGGCUAUGCGGCCGGGGACAAAGAAGAAGAAGAAGAAGAAGACGGUGACGGUCAACUCGUGGUGGGAAUGGCAACUGGUGGCCAUUCUGGUCCAAGAGCCUUCACUAAGCCUCACACUCUGGACGACUACGUCAAGGCAAAGCUAUGGGAGUGGAUGAAUGGAGCUCCUGGAAAUGCCGGCGAAAGUUUGUCCAUGGUCGUAGCGGCAGCCUACACGUAUCAGGACCUCCUCGCUCUUGUACAAGAAAUCUGGGUUUUGAGUCAAAACCCAGAGGCCUCCCCCUACCAUCGCAUUGUGGUGGUUGACAUCCCAGCCGUGCACCACGAUUUUAUGCCGCUACGGCCCAUGGAGAGUGCUCUUCUUGAUAUCAAGGUGACUAUUGAAGAGAUGGAGAUUGAUGAAAAGCUUGACAAAAUCAAAAGUGGUAUUCAUGGUCAACUAGCAAAGGGCGACGGACAACCCAAGGGUGACAAGCUGCUGGGUAAUUUUGACCAAUUGGACCUAAACGAACUACUUCAGUUGGUGCUCCAGACAGCGUCUCAACAAGAUCAAAACGGGAAGAAUAAAGACAUGCAUAUAUUACCAGCGUGGGACAAAAAGAACAUCAUCGUCAAGAAGCUUAAGGAGCAUAUGGAAGCAAAGGAAAAGGACAAGAAGCUUGAAGAGGAAGAAGCUGCCAAGCAUAUGGGGGUGGAAGAAGGAGAAGAAGCCAUGGCCAAGCAUAUGGAAGAGGGGGGAGGAGAAGUAACCAUACAUAUGGAGGAGGAAGGAGGAGCCAAGCAAAUGGAGGAAGGGGGAGGAGAAGUAACCAUGCAUAGGGAGGAGGAAGGAGGAGCCAAGCAUAUGGGGGAAGGAGAAAAAGCCGCGGGAGCUGCAGCAAGGCAAACACGCAAACAUAUGGAGGAGGGGGAAGGUGGAGAAGUAACAUGCAAACAUAUGGAGGAGGGGGAAGGAGAAAUAGCCAUACAUAUGGAGGAUGGGGGAGGAAAACUCCAUAAGGCACAAUAUGCACACAUCCUGGGGAAGCUGUUCCCCAAGAGCAGCAGCAAGCCUGUGCAGGCUCAAGACAGAUCCUUGGAUAAGCAAGCUACAAAGACCACAACGGAUACAUUGGGUGAGGAUCAAGUAAGAAAACUCAUCCACGAUGCAAAGGAAGACAUCUUACGGGAGCUGCAGCAAAGCAAAUAUGACAAGAGUGAAGGGGAUCCUGGUGCUCCGAAUCAAAACCCAGAAUCUGUUUCUGAAAAAAUAUUUGCCUCUUUCAUGGAUCAGAUGAUGGACAAAAUGAAGCAUGAGUUCAAAGAGCAGCUCGAGAUCAAAGGGCUCGUGAACAAGAUUAAAAAGAACUUGAAUCCUCAUCCGUACCGGGCUAAGAAGUGUGAAUGCCCCCUGUUUAUCCUCAAAGUUGAUGAGCUGAUGGAUGUUUCCUCAUGUGAGGAUAUCAGAAAUGCUUUGAGCCUGUUAAACUGCAGCGCCGAUUUGAUGAUUGUCACCGGCGCAAAGGACAUCCAGCGGGCUAAAGAAUAUUGCUAUCCACCGCUGGAACCUAUAGACUAUUCUCUUGCUGGCCUCUACCAUGAUACAGUGCUCGAGCUUACUAGUCAGCAGAAGAAUGAAGACAGCUAUGACCCCCAAAUUUUUCAUGAUAUCUUGUACGAGUGUGAGCCACAUGAAUUCUGCAUGAAGGUGUUCACUCAUGCUCUGCAUGCUAACCCCAAGAGGAGCGGUGAGGAGUUACACAAGCUGCACAGCACCCUGCAGGCUUUACCAACAAAAUCAUUCAACAGCAUCACUAAGGUGAUGUUCAAGUUCUCUUACAAUGACCUGCCUAAAGAAUACAAGUCCUGCUUGCUGUACCUAGCUAUCUUCUCUCCCGGACAAAAGAUCAGGCGGUCAACCUUGAUUGCACGCUGGGUUGCAGAAGGGCUGACAUCCAAGGAAGAUUGGCCCAGUUCUGUGCGUCAGGCCAACCGAUGUUUUGACACACUUGUUGGCCGGUGCCUUGUUGAUGCAGCUAAUAUUGAUGCCAUGGGAAAAGUAAAGAGCUGCGUCGUGCUAGAUCUAGAAGGUUGUCGGUGCUUUCUUGAGAAGAACCAUCGGUACCUCAAGGAAAUCUGCAGCAAGAUGUUACUGCUCAAGUAUCUGAGCCUAAGGAGAACAGAUAUUACCCAGCUACCUAGUGAAAUCAACAACCUCCGUGAACUAGAGGUACUGGAUAUCCGAGAAACUAAUGUGCCUCCACAUGCAACAGCACAUAUCCUGCUAUUGAAGCUGAAGCGUCUGCUUGCUGGCCACAUUGAUCCAAGUAAUUUUGAAUCUAAUCCCCAGAUUCCUCAUAGGAUCGACAAAAUGGUAAACAUGGAGGCACUACACAAUGUCAAGGCCAAGCAGAGUCAUGAUUUAAAAGAUAUUGGAAGGCUAUGGCAGCUGAGGAAGCUAGGUGUGGUUAUCGAUGAUACUGAUAAUCACCUAAGGAAUUUGCUUAAGGCGAUCAGUGACCUACAUGAGUGUCUCUGUUCUCUGUCAAUCACUAUUCCUGUAGCCGGACCACAUGAGGCAGAGUUACCAGAAGUCAAUGUAUCUUACCUAAAAAAACAUCCCAAGAUUCUUGAGUCUCUAAGCAUCAAGGGAACCACACAGAAGGGCCGUCUUCUUCCAAUGUUCAUAAAAGGCGAUAACAACAAACUUGCCAAGAUAACUCUAUGUCACACUCUGCUGAGCCAAGAUGAUCUGGAAGUCCUUGCCAAGCUGCCCAAGUUACGGUGUGUCAGGCUCCAACAUAUUCUAUGCAUCGAGCACAAGCUGAACUUCAAGAAAGGUGAAUUCGGAUGCCUCAAGUACCUUCUUGUUGAGGACUCAGACUUGACUAAUAUCACUUUUGAGGAUGAGGCAGCCAGUGAGCUCGAGAAGAUGGUUUUGUCUAUCACCAGCAAAUGUUCUAUUUCAGGAGUUGACUGCCUUCUUAACUUGAAAGAGCUUGAGUUGAACAGCAGCUUCUGCGGUAGUUUGCUUGGCGAUGCCAAACAGAUAUCCAAGCUAACUCUUCGUGGUACAUUGCUAGAGCAAGAUGCUCUUCAAACACUGGCCAAGAAACCAAAUAUACGCUCUCUGGUGCUCCUGGAUAAGUCUUUUCGUCGAAGUCAAAACAAGAUUACAUUGAAAAAAGAUGAGUUCUUGUGGCUCAACCUUCUUGUUGUUGACUGCUCGGCCAUCACAAAGAUAGUCUUCACCAGAGGAUCUGCUCCUAGGCUCAAGAAGAUUGUCUGGUCAUCUUCCACAUCUCUCUCCGGCAUCAACAAACUUCCCAGAUUGAAGGAGCUCAAGUUCAACUUCAACGGUGUCGGUGACCAAGUCCCUGUUGAGGUGAGGGAGGCCAUUAAAAACCAUAAAAACAAGCCUAGUCUUAAACUUAAUGGGCCAGAAACUCAAGACAAAGCAAAAGGAGAUGAACAAGAGGAUGACGAUGGUGCUGCAAAAUCCUCUUUCUGCUGGAAGAAACAGGUCUGA